This 292-nucleotide long non-coding RNA is filed under the name Phoenix dactylifera (date palm). RNAcentral describes it as "long non-coding RNA (PDAC_LNC002309)". The record is from RNAcentral. Lineage: Eukaryota; Viridiplantae; Streptophyta; Magnoliopsida; Arecales; Arecaceae.
CGGUGGCCGGGCUCCCCGGCGCCGGCCCUCCGAUGCCUAAGUCAGAGGGGGCAAGUAUGUGGAGAGAGCGGGGGAGAGGAAGUGUAUGGAGAAGACACAGUAUUUUAUCAGAUCAAGAAGACAAAGGGAAUGAUGUCAUCAAUUGUGUCUGUGCUUCCCGGAGGGUUCAGUCCCGGGGGUCUGUUUCCGUUUUUGUUGUCGUCCCCCCUCCUUGGUUCUCCCAGGUUCCCUUUUAUAGGAGGGGAUUACGUUACCUGGGAGGUGACCGGGGGAUUUGUCCCUGUCCGUAANN